GAGAUGAGGAGAGGUUGAGGGAAUCUGAGAAGACUAUUCUAAGAUGCAGGAGUCUAUACCCCCCAUGUGGAGAUGACAUGGAGGCUUGCACAGCCAACUUUGUCCAUGGUGGAGCCCCAUUACAUGCUUCCUCAUGUUUGCUCUCCUUAUUUUCCUGCCUAACUCUGCUUCCCCAAGAUUAUAUCUCACUGCCACCACCCUCACCAGGAAAAUUUGCAUGCAGUCUAUUGUCUCUCAGCUUUUUAUGGUGUCAUUGAGGGACUUGCCUGAAGGCAUGAACUCAGAGAGUUGGAUUUUAGAAGUGCAAGAAUAAUAUGAGAUACAGAAGCAAACCAUCCAUGAGGAAUUCCUUACAUUUGCAUUUCCAUGUAUAACUUUGGAUGGAGUCCUAAAGGAU
This is a non-coding RNA of Kogia breviceps (pygmy sperm whale), 397 nucleotides long. The record is from RefSeq and is a predicted model, not a curated record. Lineage: Eukaryota; Metazoa; Chordata; Mammalia; Artiodactyla; Physeteridae.